RNAcentral lists this ribosomal RNA (364 nucleotides) under uncultured bacterium. Its description in RNAcentral is "bacterial SSU rRNA". It matches the Rfam family "Bacterial small subunit ribosomal RNA", at positions 534 to 896 of the family's 1533-position model. The record is from RNAcentral.
AUUAGCGUUGUUCGGAUUCAUUGGGCGUAAAGGGUGCGUAGGUGGCGGGGCAAGUCAGGUGUGAAAUCUCGGAGCUCAACUCCGAAACUGCACUUGAUACUGCCUUGCUUGAGUACUGGAGAGGAGAUUGGAAUUUACGGUGUAGCAGUGAAAUGCGUAGAUAUCGUAAGGAAGACCAGUGGCGAAGGCGAAUCUCUGGACAGUUACUGACACUGAGGCACGAAGGCCAGGGGAGCAAACGGGAUUAGAUACCCCGGUAGUCCUGGCAGUAAACGGUGCGCGUUUGGUGUGGGAGGAUUCGACCCCUUCUGUGCCGGAGCUAACGCGUUAAACGCGCCGCCUGGGGAGUACGGUCGCAAGAUUA